RNAcentral lists this long non-coding RNA (301 nucleotides) under Vulpes vulpes (red fox). Its description in RNAcentral is "lncRNA (ENSVVUG00000005533.1)". The record is from RNAcentral. Lineage: Eukaryota; Metazoa; Chordata; Mammalia; Carnivora; Canidae.
ACUUAAAUACUCACUAUGUGCUCUGAACUGUUCAGAAAUAACCAGACACUUUCCAUAUUCUGUUGUGUUUCAGAGAAGUGAAUAGAUGGCUGGUUGAAGCACAUGGAAGUCCAUAUACAUCCAAGAAGAGGCUUCUACAAAUUUCACAUGGAUUCUCAGAACCAAAACUACAUUGCCAGAAAAGAUCCACCUUCAUUCUGUCAUGCACAACAGUGUUUACUUGUUCCUUACAAGAAAACAAGAUUCUUUCUCAGAAUGAAGAAAUGGAUGAACAAAUCACACAGCAAGAUUGAGAGUCUAU